This 448-nucleotide ribosomal RNA is filed under the name uncultured bacterium. RNAcentral's name for it is "bacterial SSU rRNA". It matches the Rfam family "Bacterial small subunit ribosomal RNA", at positions 329 to 794 of the family's 1533-position model. The record is from RNAcentral.
UGCCAGACUCCUACGGGAGGCAGCAGUGGGGAAUAUUGCACAAUGGGGGGAACCCUGAUGCAGCAACGCCGCGUGAGUGAAGAAGUAUUUCGGUAUGUAAAGCUCUAUCAGCAGGGAAGAAGAUGACGGUACCUGAGUAAGAAGCCCCGGCUAACUACGUGCCAGCAGCCGCGGUAAUACGUAGGGGGCAAGCGUUAUCCGGAUUUACUGGGUGUAAAGGGAGCGUAGACGGCGAGGCAAGUCUGGAGUGAAAGCCCGGGGCUCAACCCCGGGACUGCUUUGGAAACUGCCUGGCUGGAGUGCUGGAGAGGCAAGCGGAAUUCCUAGUGUAGCGGUGAAAUGCGUAGAUAUUAGGAAGAACACCAGUGGCGAAGGCGGCUUGCUGGACAGUAACUGACGUUGAGGCUCGAAAGCGUGGGGAGCAAACAGGAUUAGAUACCCGCGUAGU